CAAUAGCGUAUAUUUAAGUUGUUGCAGUUAAAAAGCUCGUAGUUGGAUUUCGGUUAAGAGCGACCGGUCCGCCGUUUGGUGUGCACUGGUUGGUUUUAACUUCCUGUAGAGGACGUGCUCUGGGUUUAACGACCUGGACUCGGAGUCUACGUGGUUACUUUGAAAAAAUUAGAGUGUUCAAAGCGGGCUUACGCUUGAAUAUUUCAGCAUGGAAUAACACUAUAGGACUCCUGUCCUAUUUCGUUGGUCUCGGGACGGGAGUAAUGAUUAAGAGGAACAGUUGGGGGCAUUCGUAUUUCAUUGUCAGAGGUGAAAUUCUUGGAUUUAUGAAAGACGAACUUCUGCGAAAGCAUUUGCCAAGGAUGUUUUUAUUAA
RNAcentral lists this ribosomal RNA (375 nucleotides) under uncultured eukaryote. RNAcentral describes it as "partial 18S ribosomal RNA". It matches the Rfam family "Eukaryotic small subunit ribosomal RNA", at positions 592 to 976 of the family's 1831-position model. The record is from RNAcentral.